GCCAUUAUAGCUCAGUGGUUAGAGCACUGGUCUCGUAAAGCAGCGGUCAUGAGUUCAAUCCUCUCUGAUGGCU
Molecule: transfer RNA, 73 nt
Filed under: Parasteatoda tepidariorum (common house spider)
Lineage: Eukaryota; Metazoa; Arthropoda; Arachnida; Araneae; Theridiidae
Description: transfer RNA threonine (anticodon CGU)
Rfam family: tRNA
About the family: Transfer RNA (tRNA) molecules are approximately 80 nucleotides in length. Their secondary structure includes four short double-helical elements and three loops (D, anti-codon, and T loops).
Source: RNAcentral